GACGAACGCUGGCGGCGUGCCUAACACAUGCAAGUCGAACGCUAAAGGCUUGUACGUGUACUAACUGGAUGGGCAACGAACGGGUGAGUAACGCGUGGGGAGGCUUCCAUUUAGCGGUGGGCAACAUUUGGAGGCGACUGCUACUACUACAUAAAAACUUUAAAGACAAGUUUUAAGUGUUAUUGAUGCAAUGGCAUCACUCAAGGACGAUCCUGCGUUUUGUUAGCUAGUUGGUGAGGUAAACGCUCACCAAGGGGAUGAUACAUAGCCGACCUGGGAGGGAGGUCGGCCACAUGGGGACUGAGACACCGCCCAAGCUCCUAAGGGAGGCAGCAGUAGGGAAUGUUCGGCAAUGGAGGGAAGGCUGACCGAGCAACGCCGCGUGAGUGAAGGAGGUUUUCCGAUCGUAAAACUCUGUUGGUAGAGAAGAACGUUGGUCAGAGUGGAAAGCUCAUCUAGUGACGGUAACUACACAGAAAGCACCGGCUAACUACGUG
This 497-nucleotide ribosomal RNA is filed under the name uncultured bacterium. RNAcentral describes it as "partial 16S ribosomal RNA". It matches the Rfam family "Bacterial small subunit ribosomal RNA", at positions 28 to 507 of the family's 1533-position model. The record is from RNAcentral.